GGCCUGAUGACUUUUCAUUCUUGCUCUUGAUUUGACCCUUCUCUGGUUUCACUUUCUUGGGAGGAUCAACAUUCUUUUCCUCUCCUUCCUUAGAAAGGGUUGAUAUAUCGCUUUCUGCCGGAAAAUUUGAUCCCUCAGCGUGUUCCCUUGUGGUCGAUUCGUUAGUUGCACUGCCACUCAAUUUGAUAUCAUUUUCGAUAUUUUCUUGCUGCAUUGUAGCUCCUGUGUCUUUGUUUAUGCCAUCACUCACAAUCACCUUAGGAACAAUUUCCUCUGGGGAGGCAGAAACAUGCUCAUGAAACCCAUUUUGAAGGGUCAGUUUGAGCCCAUCAGCAGGUACAAGGAUUUCCGAUUCCAUCAUUUGGUGUAAACUCGAAAACCGCGCAAACGAUCAGAACCUCAUGAAAAACAAAACCGCGUAAGCUUGGAUUUGAGUUCGCGAGAUUAAAGAAACAGCGGAAAAGAUCUGCAACAAAAGAGAAAGAGAUAAUGCCGGAGCAGAGAUCCACGGAUCCGAAACAAGAUCUA
This 528-nucleotide unclassified non-coding RNA is filed under the name Hevea brasiliensis (rubber tree). The record is from RNAcentral. Lineage: Eukaryota; Viridiplantae; Streptophyta; Magnoliopsida; Malpighiales; Euphorbiaceae.